AGCGAACGCUGGCGGCAGGCCUAACACAUGCAAGUCGAACGAACCUUUCGGGGUUAGUGGCGGACGGGUGAGUAACACGUGGUAACGUGCCUUUAGGUUCGGAAUAACUCAGGGAAACUUGUGCUAAUACCGAAUGUGCCCUUCGGGGGAAAGAUUAAUCGCCUUUAGAGCGGCCCGCGUCUGAUUAGCUAGUUGGUUGAGGUAAUGGCUCACCAAGGCGACGAUCAGUAGCUGGUCUGAGAGGAUGAUCAGCCACAUUGGGACUGAGACACGGCCCAAACUCCUACGGGAGGCAGCAGUGGGGAAUCUUGCGCAAUGGGCGAAAGCCUGACGCAGCCAUGCCGCGUGAAUGAUGAAGGUCUUAGGAUUGUAAAAUUCUUUCACCGGGGACGAUAAUGACGGUACCCGGAGAAGAAGCCCAGGCUAACUUCGUG
This 434-nucleotide ribosomal RNA is filed under the name uncultured bacterium. RNAcentral's name for it is "partial 16S ribosomal RNA". It matches the Rfam family "Bacterial small subunit ribosomal RNA", at positions 29 to 507 of the family's 1533-position model. The record is from RNAcentral.